GGCCGAGCCAGGAAAUCCUCCGGCGCGGGGCCCCAGGCUCUCCUGCUUCGGUGCUGGGGACAGAGGAAGGAGAGGGUCAAAGCCUGGGAGGGCCGCGUCCUGGAGGAUGUAUAGAAAUAGCGUCCCCUGCCCAGGGAGGGCUGCCGGAGGGAAGUGGGGCUUCCUGCCAUUCACGGCCCGCUCCGUCCAGCCAAGUUCAACAGCCCGGCCUCCAAAGUGUGCGGAUCCGGACCCGAAGGCCAGUGCACCUGCCCUUCAACCCCGAACGCCCAAGACUACGGGGACAGGGACAGGGACAGGCAUGCCACCUGGAGAGCAUCAGAGCCGCGCACAGGACCCCCCCCCCCGGAGUGGCUCUCGGCUCCAGGCCUCCCCUCUCAGGCCUCGGCUUCCCAGGUACCAGCAGGCCUAACUGCAGUGACCACUGCAGACCACUAUCCAGCAGGGGCAGGCGGCCUGGUGAGGCUUCAGCUCCAGGGACCUUGAUCCAGCUGUAUGGACCCUGAAGCGGACACUUUGCAUUGCAUGUGGCACCAGGGCACAGUCCCACAUACCCCUGCUGUGGCCUCGCCCAGGCAGAGCAGCUGCCCACCCUGUCCUGACCACACGACUUGCUUUGAUCCAUGGGACAUCAGAGCGGAGGCAGGGAGGGCCCUCUUGCCCUUUGGUCAAUUGGUAUGUGAAGGGGUCUCGGUGGCCAUGGUCCCCUCAGACCAGGCCCAGGCAGCUGCCGGUCCGAGGGGGAGGACAGACACAGGGAUCGGACUCAAACCCAAGUUGCCACCAGAGCCUGGACCCGAGGCCAGGGGUCCAGCCAGCCCAGCCACACUGCAGCCGACCCAGGGAGGGCCCUUGAAUGUCAGAGGAAACACUGUUACGUGGUGCGAUCUCGUCGAUGACUGAUGUAAAUUUUACUUUGUGAAAGAGAGAAGUGACCUGCUCAGGGUCACGAGACUGGUGGACAGCAAGUCAGGGCAGAGAGGGCCUUCGGGGGGCUCCGAGUGGCCUCUCCAACACCCCAAUCUGGUGACAUUUGAUGCUCAGUCUACACUCCCAGCAAGUCUGCACUCACUUUGAUGUGGAGGCGGACUCCAUUGGAGUCAGGGAGGCCAGGAGGCGGGAGGAGAAGCAUCCGGGCCCCUGUGGCUGCUCACUGACUCGCCCCUGGUGCAGCUCAGGUGCAGUCCUCCUGCCCUCUGGGCGUGACCCCCCACGAGGUCCCUAUUCCCAGCUGGCAGAUCUGCUAUGGCGGCUCCGUAAGUGAUGGGAAUGGACGGAGGCAGGAAUGAAUGAAUGAGGGAGGGGUUCUGUGGCCAUUCGCUGUGGGAUCCAGGCGUCCUGGGCAGCCCAGGGCUGACCCAGGCACAGGUCCUGAGGGAACGAGCAGCCUCGUGUUCAGAGCCUCAGUUUCCAGGUCUGUAAAGGGGGACACGGGGACCAGCUCUGCUCGUCACAGCGUGGGGCUGGAACACCCCUGGCAGGGUCCCUGCCUGUGCCCCGCUACUGCAGCUUUCAAAUAAGCAAAGGAGCAAAUUCCAGACGCGAGCAAGUUUGCAGGGAGACGGUGUCCCUGCUGGAGAGCCCUGUCCCCUAACCCUAACCCUCUGCUCAGGAGGUGGGAGGGGACGGAUCAUGGGACGGGAGUUGAUGGUUGUCUUUAAAAAACAACAACCUUCUUCUGCAACAGGAAGGAGUUGGCGCGGCCC
RNAcentral lists this long non-coding RNA (1706 nucleotides) under Marmota monax (woodchuck). Lineage: Eukaryota; Metazoa; Chordata; Mammalia; Rodentia; Sciuridae. The record is from RNAcentral.